CCGUCGAAAGAUGGGGUAAUGCGCGAUGAGACCACGGCCUGUUCGCAGGCAGGGGUCAAAGGUGGGGAUCCUUCGGACCUGGCGGCCAAGGGAGCGGGCGACCUCCGAUUAGCUAGUUGGCGGGGUAACGGCCCACCAAGGCGAUGAUCGGUAACCGGGCUGAGAGGCUGUCCGGUCACACUGGCACUGAGACACUGGCCAGACUCCUACGGGAGGCUGCAGUCGCGAAUUUUUCACAGUGGGCGCAAGCCUGAUGAAGCCACGCCGUGUGCAGGAUGAAGGCCCUCUGGGUUGUAAACUGCUGUCAGGGAAGGGGAAACGCUGGGUGUUAACAGCAUCUGGUUUGACUGCUUUCCAAAGGAAGCCCCGGCAA
RNAcentral lists this ribosomal RNA (373 nucleotides) under uncultured bacterium. Its description in RNAcentral is "bacterial SSU rRNA". It matches the Rfam family "Bacterial small subunit ribosomal RNA", at positions 148 to 499 of the family's 1533-position model. The record is from RNAcentral.